This 171-nucleotide unclassified non-coding RNA is filed under the name uncultured fungus. RNAcentral's name for it is "sequence contains ITS1". The record is from RNAcentral. Lineage: Eukaryota; Fungi.
UUGAUUCGUUUGUGUGUCUUCUGAGAUGCCGACAUAGUAGUGCAGAGUAGUGGGCCGCCGGCGGGCUCCGUCCGGAGGCCCGCCGAGGCAACGAAGAGGUAGGUUCACGGUGGUUGUACGGGAUUCUUGCGAAGUCCUGUAAUGAUCCCUCCGCUGGUUCACCAACGGAGA